GGGGGCGUGACGGAACGGAAAACGUAGAGGCCUUAAAAGCCUUGGUCCGCGAGGACUUGCAGGUUCGAAUCCUGCCGCCCCUACCA
Molecule: transfer RNA, 86 nt
Filed under: Candidatus Rokuibacteriota bacterium
Lineage: Bacteria; Candidatus Rokuibacteriota
Also listed under: 2 other names
Description: Candidatus Rokubacteria bacterium (sediment metagenome) tRNA-Leu
Rfam family: tRNA
About the family: Transfer RNA (tRNA) molecules are approximately 80 nucleotides in length. Their secondary structure includes four short double-helical elements and three loops (D, anti-codon, and T loops). Further hydrogen bonds mediate the characteristic L-shaped molecular structure. tRNAs have two regions of fundamental functional importance: the anti-codon, which is responsible for specific mRNA codon recognition, and the 3' end, to which the tRNAs corresponding amino acid is attached (by aminoacyl-tRNA synthetases). tRNAs cope with the degeneracy of the genetic code in two manners: having more than one tRNA (with a specific anti-codon) for a particular amino acid; and 'wobble' base-pairing, i.e. permitting non-standard base-pairing at the 3rd anti-codon position.
Source: RNAcentral